This is a long non-coding RNA of Hippocampus comes (tiger tail seahorse), 309 nucleotides long. RefSeq lists it as uncharacterized. NCBI's taxonomy places the organism in Eukaryota, Metazoa, Chordata, Actinopteri, Syngnathiformes, Syngnathidae. The transcript has 3 exons. The record is from RefSeq and is a predicted model, not a curated record.
UAGAAAUAUUUGGAAACAGCUGGGCGGAGACAGCGCCUCUCCAGGCCCCAUGUCCCACGGUGCCUUCUGGUUUCCCCUCACCUUGUACAGAAGUCGAUGUGCAUCUCUUGCUGAAAGUGGAGGAAAUAUGUUUAAUGCUGCUGGAUCCACCAUUCCAAAGCUGCCAUGACUUUGUCAGCCCCUUGUCCUACAUGGCCAGCUGCUUCAACGACAUCUGCUUGUCAGGUCCAACUGAUGAUGCGGUAUGUCAAGUGUUUACGGAGUACUCCCGAGCCUGUGCCCAUGCUGAUCAUCCCCUGAGCAGUUGGA